This 459-nucleotide ribosomal RNA is filed under the name uncultured bacterium. Its description in RNAcentral is "partial 16S ribosomal RNA". It matches the Rfam family "Bacterial small subunit ribosomal RNA", at positions 338 to 795 of the family's 1533-position model. The record is from RNAcentral.
CCUACGGGAGGCAGCAGUGAGGAAUAUUGGUCAAUGGGCGAGAGCCUGAACCAGCCAAGUCGCGUGAGGGAGUACUGCCCUAUGGGUUGUAAACCUCUUUUGUCGGGGAGCAAAAGCCGGACGUGUCCGGCUGUGAGAGUACCCGAAGAAAAAGCAUCGGCUAACUCCGUGCCAGCAGCCGCGGUAAUACGGAGGAUGCGAGCGUUAUCCGGAUUUAUUGGGUUUAAAGGGUGCGUAGGUUGUUUUUUAAGUCAGCGGUGAAAGUUUGUGGCUCAACCAUAAAAUUGCCGUUGAAACUGGAAGACUUGAGUGUGUUUGAGGUAGGCGGAAUGCGUGGUGUAGCGGUGAAAUGCAUAGAUAUCACGCAGAACUCCGAUUGCGAAGGCAGCUUACUAAGCCAUAACUGACACUGAAGCACGAAAGCGUGGGGAUCAAACAGGAUUAGAUACCCCUGUAGUC